GUGGGGAAUAUUGGGCAAUGGGCGAAAGCCUGACCCAGCAACGCCGCGUGAAGGAAGAAGGUUUUCGGAUCGUAAACUUCUAUCCUUGGUGAAGAUAAUGACGGUAGCCAAGAAGGAAGCCCCGGCUAACUACGUGCCAGCAGCCGCGGUAAUACGUAGGGGGCAAGCGUUGUCCGGAAUGAUUGGGCGUAAAGGGCGCGUAGGCGGCCCGGUAAGUCUGAAGUGAAAGUACUGCUUUUAAGGUGGGAAUUGCUAUGGAUACUGGCGGGCUUGAGUGCAGGAGAGGUAAGCGGAAUUCCCGGUGUAGCGGUGAAAUGCGUAGAGAUCGGGAGGAACAGCAGUGGCGAAGGCGGCUUACUGGACUGUAACAGACGCUGAGGCGAGAAAGUGUGGGGAGCAAACAGGAUUAGAAACCCGAGUAGUCC
This 425-nucleotide ribosomal RNA is filed under the name uncultured bacterium. RNAcentral's name for it is "partial 16S ribosomal RNA". It matches the Rfam family "Bacterial small subunit ribosomal RNA", at positions 354 to 796 of the family's 1533-position model. The record is from RNAcentral.